RNAcentral lists this non-coding RNA (27 nucleotides) under Mus musculus (house mouse). The record is from RNAcentral. Lineage: Eukaryota; Metazoa; Chordata; Mammalia; Rodentia; Muridae.
UGAAAAUGUUGCAAAGUACUGGCGCCA